GAUGAACGCUGGCGGCGUGCCUAAUACAUGCCAGUCGAGCGAACAGACGAGGAGCUUGCUCCUCUGAUGUUAGCGGCGGACGGGUGAGUAACACGUGGAUAACCUACCUAUAAGACUGGGAUAACUUCGGGAAACCGGAGCUAAUACCGGAUAACAUGUUGAACCGCAUGGUUCAACAGUGAAAGACGGUCUUGCUGUCACUUAUAGAUGGAUCCGCGCCGCAUUAGCUAGUUGGUAAGGUAACGGCUUACCAAGGCAACGAUGCGUAGCCGACCUGAGAGGGUGAUCGGCCACACGGGAACUGAGACACGGUCCAGACUCCUACGGGAGGCAGCAGUAGGGAAUCUUCCGCAAUGGGCGAAAGCCUGACGGAGCAACGCCGCGUGAGUGAAGAAGGUCUUCGGAUCGUAAAACUCUGUUAUUAGGGAAGAACAAAUGUGUAAGUAACUAUGCACGUCUUGACGGUACCUAAUCAGAAAGCCACGGCUAACUACGUG
This 497-nucleotide ribosomal RNA is filed under the name uncultured bacterium. RNAcentral's name for it is "partial 16S ribosomal RNA". It matches the Rfam family "Bacterial small subunit ribosomal RNA", at positions 28 to 507 of the family's 1533-position model. The record is from RNAcentral.